RNAcentral lists this ribosomal RNA (239 nucleotides) under uncultured bacterium. RNAcentral's name for it is "partial 16S ribosomal RNA". It matches the Rfam family "Bacterial small subunit ribosomal RNA", at positions 15 to 235 of the family's 1533-position model. The record is from RNAcentral.
GAUCCUGGCUCAGGAUGAACGCUGGCGGCGUGCUUAACACAUGCAAGUCGAACGAAGCACUUUAUUUGAUUUCCUUCGGGACUGAUUAUUUUGUGACUGAGUGGCGGACGGGUGAGUAACGCGUGGGUAACCUGCCUUGUACAGGGGGAUAACAGUUGGAAACGGCUGCUAAUACCGCAUAAGCGCACGGCAUCGCAUGAUGCAGUGUGAAAAACUCCGGUGGUAUAAGAUGGACCGCG